Molecule: non-coding RNA, 269 nt
Organism: Otolemur garnettii (small-eared galago)
Lineage: Eukaryota; Metazoa; Chordata; Mammalia; Primates; Galagidae
Source: Rfam
AAGACUUACUAUUACUAGAGGAGCUUCUCUGAAUUUGUAGAGCACCAGCAACCAUGAGAAGGAGGCGCAGGGGUCUCUCCUGAGCAAGAAGCCGGCUCUUGGCAUUGCUUUGCUGCAAAUAGUGACGUGACCACAACCCAACUGCAAAGGAGGCUGGGAAAUGUAGUCUUUAUUGUGGGUGGCUGCCCGCCAGGCUGAGGAUCAUCUGCCAUUGAUGAUCGUUCUUCUCUUCCUUCAGGAGAGUAAGAGGGAGAUGUAGUCUAAGUGUU